This 795-nucleotide ribosomal RNA is filed under the name uncultured Candidatus Saccharibacteria bacterium. RNAcentral's name for it is "bacterial SSU rRNA". It matches the Rfam family "Bacterial small subunit ribosomal RNA", at positions 548 to 1355 of the family's 1533-position model. The record is from RNAcentral. Lineage: Bacteria; Candidatus Saccharimonadota.
GAAUUACUGGGCGUAAAGAGUUGCGUAGGUGGCAAAGUAAGCGAAUAGUAAAAUCACAUAGCUCAACUAUGUAUAUAUUACUUGAACUGCUUAGCUAGAGGAUGAGAGAGGUUAUUGGAAUUCUCAGUGUAGGAGUGAAAUCCGUAGAUAUUGAGAGGAACACCGAUGGCGUAAGCAGAUAACUGGCUCAUUCCUGACACUAAGGCACGAAAGCGUGGGGAGCAAACGGGAUUAGAUACCCCGGUAGUCCACGCCGUAAACUAUGAAUGCUAGCUGUUAGAGGUAUCGACCCCUCGAGUAGCGAAGCUAACGCGUUAAGCAUUCCGCCUGUGGAGUACGGUCGCAAGACUAAAACAUAAAGGAAUUGACGGGGACCCGCACAAGCGGUGGGGCGUGUUGUUUAAUUCGAUGAUAAGCGAAGAACCUUACCCAGGCUUGACAUCCUGCGAAUUUUUUCGAAAGAAAAAAGUGCUUUAUUGAGCGCAGUGACAGGUGUUGCAUGGCCGUCGUCAGCUCGUGUCGUGAGAUGUUUGGUUAAGUCCAUCAACGAGCGCAACCCUUAUAUCUAGUUGAAUUUUUCUAGCUAGACUGCCCUGGUAACAGGGAGGAAGGAGGGGUCGAAGUCAGGUCAGUAUUACCCUUACGUCUGGGGCUACAAACACGCUACAAUGGCCAGUACAAAGGGCAGCCAAGUCGCGAGACGGAGCUAAUCCCAUCAAAACUGGUCCUAGUUCGGAUUGCAGGCUGAAACCCGCCUGCAUGAAGCUGGAAUCGCUAGUAAUGGUAGGUCAGCAC